This 219-nucleotide unclassified non-coding RNA is filed under the name plant metagenome. Its description in RNAcentral is "partial contains small subunit ribosomal RNA, internal transcribed spacer 1, and 5.8S ribosomal RNA". The record is from RNAcentral.
GUAGGUGAACCUGCGGAAGGAUCAUUAGUGAAUUGAAUAUGUUAGCGGACCUCUUCGGAGUCCCUAGCAUCAAAUCAUAUCCAUAACACCUGUGAACUGUAAGGCUGUCUUGAAAACGAAAGUGAUUAGAGCGCCUGCCCAUUUUAUACAAACAUUAAAGUAACAAACGUAGUCUUAUUAUAAUCUAAUAAACUUUCAACAACGGAUCUCUUGGCUCUC